UACGGAGGGUGCGAGCGUUAAUCGGAAUUACUGGGGCGUAAAGCGCGCGUAGGCGGCUUCGUCAGUCAGAUGUGAAAAGCCCCCGGGGCUCAACCUGGGAACUGCAUUUGAUACUGCGGAGCUAGAGUAUGGUAGAGGAUAGUGGAAUUCCAGGUGUAGCGGUGAAAUGCGUAGAUAUCUGGAGGAACAUCAGUGGCGAAGGCGACUGUCUGGACCAAUACUGACGCUGAGGUGCGAAAAGCGUGGGGGAGCAAACAGGAUUAGAUACCCGCGUAGUCC
Molecule: ribosomal RNA, 279 nt
Filed under: uncultured bacterium
Lineage: Bacteria
Description: partial 16S ribosomal RNA
Rfam family: Bacterial small subunit ribosomal RNA
Source: RNAcentral